AUCAGUUCCUCACUCUUAAUAUGGUAUCUAGAGCUAACGAUUUCUGUUAGAACUCUUCCCGUUUCCUUUCUUCCGAUCUUCUUCUUCUCAUCUACCGGCACCCAUGGAGGAGAUUAGCAGGAACGCAAACUCUUCUCUGGUCAAAAUCAAGUUGGUCGCAACUGUAAAAUUGGAUUAUACCAAUUUCUUCUCCUGGAAGGCGCAAACAUUGACCCAUCUCUGCGGCUACAGUCUUCUAAAAUAAAUUGAAUCUCCCGUCGAUUCCACGUCGACGGUGGCAGUUGUACAGCAGGAUCAAUUGCUGUGUUGGGAUAGCUCCUGUCCGCUCUUUCUCCAGUGGUAUUACCUUAGGUAGCCGCCUUCACAACGUCGUCACAGGAGGUUUAGGUCGCGCUCCAGAAUAUUUUUAAUUACAAAUCCAAAUCAAGGAGGCUCCAACUAAGGCAUGAACUAUCCACCUUCAAGAAAGGGGGUCUUACCAGCGAUGAAUACCUAGCGGCGUUGUCCAGGAAAUUAAGCCGAUGAAGUGAGGGAUUCCGGAAUCGAGAUGGAAGACGGCACUACAAAAAAAAGGACCUUGUAUGGCGGCCUUUAGAUGGCGGAUUUCCGCCAUCAAUACUUCAAUAGUU
RNAcentral lists this long non-coding RNA (629 nucleotides) under Zostera marina. RNAcentral's name for it is "long non-coding RNA (ZMAR_LNC000802)". Lineage: Eukaryota; Viridiplantae; Streptophyta; Magnoliopsida; Alismatales; Zosteraceae. The record is from RNAcentral.